Molecule: long non-coding RNA, 202 nt
Filed under: Lathyrus oleraceus (garden pea)
Lineage: Eukaryota; Viridiplantae; Streptophyta; Magnoliopsida; Fabales; Fabaceae
Description: Pisum sativum (pea) long non-coding RNA (PSAT_LNC032041)
Source: RNAcentral
UACAAACCACUAGUCCAAGACUAGGGUCAAAGGCAAAGCAAAAAGUCAAAACAGAAGUUGAUAUUUAAUAAGAAGCUUCUUUAUUCAAGCAAGAACAUGUCCUAAAAAGAACCAAGUCUAAAGCAUUAAGCAAGGUCAUCUCAUGAGCAAGAUAUGGCAAAGGCAAUUACAAAGCACACAAUUGGACAACAAGAAUCAAAAU